GAUGAACGCUGGCGGCGUGCCUAAUACAUGCAAGUCGAGCGAACGGACGAGAAGCUUGCUUCUCUGAUGUUAGCGGCGGACGGGUGAGUAACACGUGGAUAACCUACCUAUAAGACUGGGAUAACUUCGGGAAACCGGAGCUAAUACCGGAUGAUAUUUUGAACCGCAUGGUUCAAAAGUGAAAGACGGUCUUGCUGUCACUUAUAGAUGGAUCCGCGCUGCAUUAGCUAGUUGGUAAGGUAACGGCUUACCAAGGCAACGAUGCAUAGCCGACCUGAGAGGGUGAUCGGCCACACUGGAACUGAGACACGGUCCAGACUCCUACGGGAGGCAGGAGUAGGGAAUCUUCCGCAAUGGGCGAAAGCCUGACGGAGCAACGCCGCGUGAGUGAUGAAGGUCUUCGGAUCGUAAAACUCUGUUAUUAGGGAAGAACAUAUGUGUAAGUAACUGUGCACAUCUUGACGGUACCUAAUCAGAAAGCCACGGCUAACUACGUG
Molecule: ribosomal RNA, 497 nt
Filed under: uncultured bacterium
Lineage: Bacteria
Description: partial 16S ribosomal RNA
Rfam family: Bacterial small subunit ribosomal RNA
Source: RNAcentral